Molecule: ribosomal RNA, 622 nt
Filed under: uncultured Bifidobacterium sp.
Lineage: Bacteria; Bacillati; Actinomycetota; Actinomycetes; Bifidobacteriales; Bifidobacteriaceae
Description: bacterial SSU rRNA
Rfam family: Bacterial small subunit ribosomal RNA
Source: RNAcentral
AUGCGUGACCGACCUGCCCCAUACACCGGAAUAGCUCCUGGAAACGGGUGGUAAUGCCGGAUGCUCCGACUCCUCGCAUGGGGUGUCGGGAAAGAUUUCAUCGGUAUGGGAUGGGGUCUGCGUCCUAUCAGGUAGUCGGCGGGCUAACGGCCCACCGAGCCUACGACGGGUUAGCCGGCCUGAGAGGGCGACCGGCCACAUUGGGACUGAGAUACGGCCCAGACUCCUACGGGAGGCAGCAGUGGGGAAUAUUGCACAAUGGGCGCAAGCCUGAUGCAGCGACGCCGCGUGCGGGAUGACGGCCUUCGGGUUGUAAACCGCUUUUGAUCGGGAGCAAGCCUUCGGGUGAGUGUACCUUUCGAAUAAGCACCGGCUAACUACGUGCCAGCAGCCGCGGUAAUACGUAGGGUGCAAGCGUUAUCCGGAAUUAUUGGGCGUAAAGGGCUCGUAGGCGGUUCGUCGCGUCCGGUGUGAAAGUCCAUCGCUUAACGGUGGAUCUGCGCCGGGUACGGGCGGGCUGGAGUGCGGUAGGGGAGACUGGAAUUCCCGGUGUAACGGUGGAAUGUGUAGAUAUCGGGAAGAACACCAAUGGUGAAGCCAGGAUCUCUGGGCCGUUUACUGA